This is a long non-coding RNA of Pseudopipra pipra, 1964 nucleotides long. RefSeq lists it as uncharacterized. The transcript is spliced from 3 exons. NCBI's taxonomy places the organism in Eukaryota, Metazoa, Chordata, Aves, Passeriformes, Pipridae. The record is from RefSeq and is a predicted model, not a curated record.
AGCAUUGUGACAAAAGCCAGGUGAGGGAAUAAUGGACUAAGAAUUAAGAACUGAUUCCCACAGUGUCACCUCCCACAGCUCAAGACAAAAGGGGAACUCAGAAAGUUGUUAUAAACACAACUUUUCACAUCAGUGUCAGAAAGACAGAGAACUCCAAACUCAUUUUUUGGCAUCAAUAAUAUAAUAGUUUAUUAAUUCUGUGCAGCAGCAGGAGUUAAUUGGCUGGGGAUAAAUUAUGAACACAGCAGGAAGCAGUGGAGAUCCGUGUUCCUUCACUCACAAUAUUAAUCCAGAGCAAGAUUAAAGCCAUUUCCAUGGGAUUCAUGGCUCCUGCUUUCUCGAAAGACAAGUGAGAGAACACUGCCUUUCACCCCGAGGAUAUUUGGGGUGAUUCAUGCUGCCCAUACAUCUCCUGGAUGCCUCCGUGCCCCGAUGGAUCUCUGUUAUUGCUGGGCAAUAACACAGAGCUGCGGUGGCAAAACGUCCCCUGUGUGCUCCACAGAGCUCCAGCUCCAUCUGUCCCGAGCCUGCUGCCAUCAUUUACAUCAACAAACACGAGAACAUGGCAAAUCACUCUGCCAUCACCACACCAGCCUCCAGGAGACUUCCAACAGCCAGACUUUCCUGCCAUGACUCCAUGUGGGCUCACACAAAGUGGCUCAUCCCGUGGAUCAUUCCCUGUCACUUCUCUCCCCGGCAGCUCCUGGGAAGGAUCAGAUGUAAGACCUUGUUUCCCACUCGUCAUUCAAGAGUUCCUGCAGUCUCUCCCUCACCUUUCCUACUGCCCUGCCUUCCCUCUGGACUUCACUGGUGGCCUCUCAUGUGCCCAGAGGUGAGCAGGUUCUACCCCAAGGAUCCAAGUGCAGCAAUGAAUCUUUGGGUUUGCAUUUCUUUUUAAUCUCACACCUGCAAAGAGGGGGCUUUUAGGCAUGAGAUCCAAGCUCCAGCCACUGACACAACCAGAGGAGCUGCUACAGUCCAAUUCAAAGACUUCUGCCCAAGCUGACAGCAAGUUUGUUUUACUCCCCCCCUAAACCCAGCAAUCAGAGCACUUUAUCUUCCCCUGCACGACUGCAGAUUGAAACUAAAGGGGAGAUUGAAAAGGAGAUGCUUGUACCACAUAACCACUGACCUUCCCAAAGAACUCUAAUGCCUGAAACAUUCUAAAAUUUGAUUUGAAUCAAUCCAAUCUCACCUCAGCACAAGGCAAUCCCUAUAUCUGGAAAAGGCUGCCAGGAGGAGGAACAAGCCUGAGCCAGCCUGGCAGGAUUUUGAUUACAGGAGAGUAGAUACCACUUCUCCUUAAUGGGAUUGAUUAAAAGCUUUAACUGUGUUAUCCUUUACACGAGGGCACUUUUAUCUCAGGGUUUGCUGGGGAUUUUUUCCCCCUCAGGGUGCAGGUUCAUCACUGCUGCUGGUGCUGAUGGGUGUCACAUGUUCUGGGUGGCACCGGGGUCACGGAGAGGACAAAAAUCCUUUUACCCUCAAGCUGGGAAUGGCUUUGUCCUCUUAAUAGAGUGUGUGUAGUGUCUAAGGAGAGUCUUGCAGGACAGUGGAGAGAAUCCUGAAGCUCUGUGGGGAUUUAGGGUGAGUCUUGCAGGUUUUUACGUGUAAAACUGGACAACCUUCUUUUCCUGCCCCUGUUUCCCCCUGGGCUGUUUGUACCCUUCACAACAGGAAUCAAAUCUUACCAGUGAUUCGGGUGUUAAUUAGUGCAGGUCUGGGUCUUUCCAGCAUCUCCACCUUCCAAGGGGAGGCUGGACCUGCAGCCUUUGGAGCUCUGCAGCACAGGUACAAUUAUCCCCCACAACUGCACAGUGCCCUCCAUGGAAGCUCUGUGUGAUGCCCAGUUUAACCUCCCAGUACAGAACCAGCAACAGGGAUUUCCACAGGCCCUUCCCAGUGGCUGCAAAAUGCCCUGGUGUACAUGGACCCUAAACUUGCUUCCCAGGAAGUGGUGACCC